Myotis lucifugus (little brown bat) is the source of this 129-nucleotide small nucleolar RNA. Ensembl annotates it as small nucleolar RNA SNORA11. Lineage: Eukaryota; Metazoa; Chordata; Mammalia; Chiroptera; Vespertilionidae. The record is from Ensembl.
GGGGUGUGCUCAGAGCAGGGUGCCUGAAGAAAUGGCUCCUCUGUUUACAACACACCCAACAGGAGCUGGGGUCACUGUGACAAGGGGCACAAAACGUGUGGCCUUCCUGUGCACAAGCACCCUACAUGU